RNAcentral lists this ribosomal RNA (1487 nucleotides) under human gut metagenome. RNAcentral describes it as "bacterial LSU rRNA". It matches the Rfam family "Bacterial large subunit ribosomal RNA", at positions 825 to 2341 of the family's 2925-position model. The record is from RNAcentral.
AAUUCCAAUCGAACCCGGAGAUAGCUGGUUCUCCUCGAAAUAGCUUUAGGGCUAGCCUCUUAAAAGAGUAACGGAGGUAGAGCACUGAAUAGCCUAGGGGGCGUCAAAGCCUACCGAAGCUUAUCAAACUCCGAAUGCCGUAUACUUGAUUUAAGGGAGUCAGACUGCACGAGAUAAGUUGGGCAGUCAAAAGGGAAAGAGCCCAGACCGCCAGCUAAGGCCCCAAAAUGCAUGUUAAGUGGAAAAGGAUGUGGGAUCUCUAAGACAACUAGGAUGUUGGCUCAGAAGCAGCCAUACAUUCAAAGAGUGCGUAAUAGCUCACUAGUCGAGAGGUCCUGCGCCGAAAAUGUCCGGGGCUGAAACAUGCUGCCGAAGCUGCGGAACCGCAAGGUUGGUAGAGGAGCAUUGAAUGCGGGAAGAAGCUGUACCGUAAGGAGCAGUGGACUGCAUUGAAGAGAGAAUGCCGGAAUGAGUAGCGAGAAAUAGGUGAGAAUCCUAUUGGCCGAAUAUCCAAGGAUUCCAGGGUAAAGCUGAUCUGCCCUGGGUAAGUCGGGGCCUAAGGCGAGGUCGGAAGACGUAGCCGAUGGACAACAGGUGGAGAUUCCUGUACUGCAUAUGGUCAGAACUGUGGGGACACGGGGUGUUAACGGAAGCCGGGAAAGGAAAGACCGGUCCAAGCGCAGGAGGCGUUGCACAGGCAAAUCCGUGCAAUAAGCCAAAGGCGUGACGGGGAGCGAAAUACAAGUAGCGAAGUCCGGAUACAUGCUGUCAAGAAAAGCCGCUAUUGCGCCAUAUGUACCCGUACCGUAAACCGACACAGGUGGAUGAGGAGAGAAUCCUAAGGCCGGCGGGAGAAGUGUUGUUAAGGAACUCGGCAAAAUGGCCCCGUAACUUCGGGAGAAGGGGCGCCCAGAAAUGGGCCGCAGAGAAAAGGCUCAAGCAACUGUUUAGCAAAAACACAGGUCUAUGCGAAACCGAAAGGUGAGGUAUAUGGGCUGACGCCUGCCCGGUGCUGGAAGGUUAAGGGGAGAGGUUAGCCGCAAGGCGAAGCUUUGAACUUAAGCCCCAGUAAACGGCGGCCGUAACUAUAACGGUCCUAAGGUAGCGAAAUUCCUUGUCGGGUAAGUUCCGACCCGCACGAAAGGCGUAAUGAUUUGAGCACUGUCUCGACAACACACCCGGUGAAAUUGAAAUACCAGUGAAGAUGCUGGUUACCUGCGCCAGGACGGAAAGACCCCAUGGAGCUUUACUCUAGUUUGAUACUGGGACCCGGUAUGACAUGUACAGGAUAGGUGGGAGGCUGAGAAUUAAUGACGCCAGUCAUUAAGGAGCCGCUGUUGGGAUACCACCCUUGUGAUGCCAGGUUUCUAACGAGCUGCCGUGAACCGGCAGGCGGACAAUGUCAGGCGGGGAGUUUGACUGGGGCGGUCGCCUCCGAAAGGGUAUCGGAGGCGCUCAAAGGUUCCCUCAGAAUGGUUGGAAACCAU